CCUACGGGUGGCAGCAGUGGGGAAUAUUGGACAAUGGGGGCAACCCUGAUCCAGCCAUGCCGCGUGUGUGAAGAAGGCCCUCGGGUUGUAAAGCACUUUCAGUGAGGAAGAACGCCUGGUGGUUAAUACCCAUCAGGAAAGACAUCACUCACAGAAGAAGCACCGGCUAACUCCGUGCCAGCAGCCGCGGUAAUACGGAGGGUGCGAGCGUUAAUCGGAAUUACUGGGCGUAAAGCGCGCGUAGGUGGCUUGAUAAGCCGGUUGUGAAAGCCCCGGGCUCAACCUGGGAACGGCAUCCGGAACUGUCAAGCUUGAGUGCAGGAGAGGAAGGUAGAAUUCCCGGUGUAGCGGUGAAAUGCGUAGAGAUCGGGAGGAAUACCGGUGGCGAAGGCGGCCUUCUGGACUGAGACUGACACUGAGGUGCGAAAGCGUGGGUAGCAAACAGGAUUAGAUACCCGUGUAGUC
Molecule: ribosomal RNA, 465 nt
Filed under: Vreelandella stevensii
Lineage: Bacteria; Pseudomonadati; Pseudomonadota; Gammaproteobacteria; Oceanospirillales; Halomonadaceae
Description: partial 16S ribosomal RNA
Rfam family: Bacterial small subunit ribosomal RNA
Source: RNAcentral